GAACGUGUUUGUUCUUUUCCCGGCUAUGCCGCCUCCUGUGGUGCUCUUCUCCUCCCGGACACCCAUCCUUCUCAUCCCAGACUCCGAUCCGCCGGCGGUGGAACUGGACUUCCCCUGCGUCCUAGUGCUUCUUCGUUCGAGAUCGAGCGGCCUCGAUCGGGGCUAAGGCGGCGGAUCGAUACGCGACGCCGAACGAGAGUGCCCAAAGGAACCUCGCGGGCUUAAAGGUGAGCUAGGAAUUAUUUGGGUCAGAGUCAUCCAGCUUUAGGCCAGUGAGAUCUCAUUAGCAUCAAGUCGUGACUCAUGACAACUACUUCCAUCAACAAACCAUACAAUCUUUGAUAUGACCGUGCAUUUACUCAGUGUAAUACAUGGGGCAUGCAUAGAGAGCUUUCAAUCAUGCAUGACACACAUGAUUUCAGCUUUGCGUCUAAAACAUGACUCCAUGCGCAUCAAGAAAAUCCACCAACAACUGCAGUCUACAGCGACGUAUUACUUGCUGCCGAAACCCAGUGGCUGUCAGGGAAUAAAAAUAGCAAGUGUUUUAGUAGCAAUUGCAAAAAUCUAACAUGUACCAAAAGGAAAUAUCCCAAUCUACUAAGUAUGAGGAGGCCAAGACUUGCAUCACCGAAAGUGUAGAGAUCAGAUUCUUAACUUGGGUUGUCCUCUUCUUUCAAAAAGUAUACCUGUUCAUGAUCGACGUCAGAGGAGGGGAAAAGGAAGUCGACGACGGAGUGACGGUCUUUAUACAAGGCUGCAUGGAAGAAAGUUGUACGUGCGUAUCUUUAUAUCGACGACGGAAAUCGAGAAAGGAAGAAGGCAAAGCGGCGGGUGGAGUCCAAGCAUCGGUGGCCGUCUCAGUUUUGAUUUCCCUGACAGCUGUCCACAUGGAGUCGGUGGGGGCCCGCAGCCCAACAGCGCACGCGUCACGGUUGGCUGCCUAUCGCGGCCAGUCGUUCCCGCGUCCAAAUUGUCUCCCACCGUCUUUGCCUCGGCUCCAUCCGACGGUCAGAGGUUUCUAGCUCGAUCCGACGGGCAGUGUCGAUCGAGGCCAAACGAGUCCGGACGCCGUGGAAGGGCGCUCUUGUCCGGUUCUGAUUGACCCCAGUAUUACCAGUGCGCUGA
Musa acuminata AAA Group (dessert banana) is the source of this 1125-nucleotide long non-coding RNA. RefSeq lists it as uncharacterized. The record is from RefSeq and is a predicted model, not a curated record. The transcript is spliced from 3 exons. NCBI's taxonomy places the organism in Eukaryota, Viridiplantae, Streptophyta, Magnoliopsida, Zingiberales, Musaceae.